This is a long non-coding RNA of Sinocyclocheilus grahami, 90 nucleotides long. RefSeq lists it as uncharacterized. The record is from RefSeq and is a predicted model, not a curated record. The transcript is spliced from 3 exons. Lineage: Eukaryota; Metazoa; Chordata; Actinopteri; Cypriniformes; Cyprinidae.
GCUGAAAAACUGCAGAUCAACUAAAGAAACUCACACGCGUGUAAAAACAGCAGUUCCAGUCGUGUUUGUGUGUGUGUGUGUGUGUGUGAG